RNAcentral lists this ribosomal RNA (1962 nucleotides) under human gut metagenome. Its description in RNAcentral is "bacterial LSU rRNA". It matches the Rfam family "Bacterial large subunit ribosomal RNA", at positions 1 to 1977 of the family's 2925-position model. The record is from RNAcentral.
GUAAAUAAUAAAGGGCGUAUGGUGGAUGCCUAGGCUCUCAGAGGCGAUGAAGGACGUGAUAAGCUGCGAAAAGCUCCGUUUAGGUGCAAAUAACCUUUGAUGCGGAGAUCUCCGAAUGGGAUAACCCAAUAUGUUGAAGACAUAUUAUACCGUAAGGUAGGCAAACGCAGGGAACUGAAACAUCUAAGUACCUGCAGGAGAAGAAAACAAACGUGAUUCCCCCAGUAGCGGCGAGCGACCGGGGAUAAGCCCAAACCGUUAUUGUUUCGGCAGUAGCGGGGUAGUAGGACUGCGACAUUGAUGAAAUAAAUGAAAUGGAACACCUUGGAAAAUGUGAUCACAGAGGGUGAUAAUCCCGUACAUGUAAGUUUAUGAAUCAUAGCAGACUCCUGAGUAAGUCGGGACACGUGUAAUCCUGACCGAAUCCGCCGGGACCAUCCGGCAAGGCUAAAUACUCCUGAGAGACCGAUAGUGAACCAGUACCGUGAGGGAAAGGUGAAAAGCACUUCGAACAGAAGAGUGAAAUAGUCCCUGAACCCAUACGCCUACAAGCAGUCGGAGCCGCUUCGUGCGGUGACGGCGUGCCUUUUGCAUAAUGAGCCUACGAGUUACUCAUCACCAGCGAGGUUAAGUACUUCAGGUACGUAAGCCGAAGCGAAAGCGAGUCUGAAUAGGGCGUCAAGUUGGUGGUGGUAGACGCGAAACCUUAGUGAUCUACCCAUGGGCAGGGUGAAGGUUUGGUAACACAAACUGGAGGCCCGAACCGGUAAACGUUGAAAAGUUUUCGGAUGACCUGUGGGUAGGGGUGAAAGGCCAAUCAAACUGGGAAAUAGCUCGUACUCUCCGAAAUGCAUUUAGGUGCAGCCUCUGUUGUUUUGUUCUAGAGGUAGAGCUACUGAUUGGAUGCGAGGGCUUCACCGCCUAUCAAAUCCGGCCAAACUCCGAAUGCUAGAACAUGAAGACAGGGAGUGAGCCAGCGGGUGCUAAGGUCCGUUGACGAAAGAGGGAGAACUCAGACCAUCAGCUAAGGUCCCCAAUUAUAUGCUAAGUUGGAAUUAAAACGGGGUGGGACUGCUUAGACAGCUAGGAUGUUGGCUUGGAAGCAGCCAUUCAUUUAAAGAGUGCGUAACAGCUCACUAGUCGAGCGGUCCUGCAUGGAUAAUACGCGGGCAUAAGCAUAUAACCGAAGCUAUGGGAUUGUAGAUGAUACAAUCGGUAGGAGAGCAUUCCAUUCAGCAUAGAAGCAGUACCGUGAGGUAUUGUGGAGCGGAUGGAAAAGCAAAUGUAGGCAUAAGUAACGAUAAUGCGGGUGAGAACCCCGCACGCCGAAAGAUCAAGGAUUCCCCGGCAAUGUCAAUCAUCCGGGGGUAAGUCGGAUCCUAAGGGUAAGCCGAGUGGCGAUCCCGAUGGCAAACAGGUUAAUAUUCCUGUACUGAUCAUAACUGCGAUGCAGCGACGCAGAGGUGACACUGCUGCGUACUGACGGAAUAGUACGUUGAAACCCGUAUUCUUUGAUACCGGUAGUGAAGCACGCCGGUAGAGAUGAAAGGUGAUAGUACCGCAAUGCUUCGGUUGCGCGGAUAAUGCAGGUAAGCUGACUGCCAAGAAAACCUGCUAAGCUUCAGGUAAUGAUCAUCCGUACUGUAAACGGACACACGUGAUCAGGUAGAAAAUACUAAGGCGCUCGAGAGAUUCAUGGUUAAGGAACUAGGCAAAAUGGUCCUGUAACUUCGGGAUAAAGGACGCUCUUGUGAAAGAGCCGCAGAUAAUAGGCCCAGGCGACUGUUUACCAAAAACACAUGGCUAUGCUAAUUCGCAAGAAGAUGUAUAUGGCCUGACACCUGCCCGGUGCCGGAAGGUUAAGAGGAGAGCUCAGAGGCAACUCGAAGGUUUGAAUUGAAGCCCCGGUAAACGGCGGCCGUAACUAUAACGGUCCUAAGGUAGCGAAAUUCCUUGUCGGGU